GACGAACGCUGGCGGCGUGCUUAACACAUGCAAGUCGAACGAUGAAGCGGUGCUUGCACCGUGGAUUAGUGGCGAACGGGUGAGUAAUACGUGAGUGACCUACCUUUGACUCUGGGAUAAGCCUGGGAAACUGGGUCUAAUACCGGAUACGACCAAUCUCUGCAUGGGGUGUUGGUGGAAAGCGUUAUGAGUGGUUUUAGAUGGGCUCACGGCCUAUCAGCUUGUUGGUGAGGUAAUGGCUUACCAAGGCGACGACGGGUAGCCGGCCUGAGAGGGUGACCGGCCACACUGGGACUGAGACACGGCCCAGACUCCUACGGGAGGCAGCAGUGGGGAAUAUUGCACAAUGGGCGCAAGCCUGAUGCAGCGACGCCGCGUGAGGGAUGACGGCCUUCGGGUUGUAAACCUCUGUUAGCAUCGAAGAAGCGAAAGUGACGGUAGGUGCAGAGAAAGCGCCGGCUAACUACGUG
RNAcentral lists this ribosomal RNA (470 nucleotides) under uncultured bacterium. RNAcentral's name for it is "partial 16S ribosomal RNA". It matches the Rfam family "Bacterial small subunit ribosomal RNA", at positions 28 to 507 of the family's 1533-position model. The record is from RNAcentral.